UCCGAUAAAGCUUCCCCCUGCU
Molecule: unclassified non-coding RNA, 22 nt
Filed under: Chlamydomonas reinhardtii
Lineage: Eukaryota; Viridiplantae; Chlorophyta; Chlorophyceae; Chlamydomonadales; Chlamydomonadaceae
Description: small RNA Cre_2571
Source: RNAcentral